AAACCCCCGCCGAAUAGAGUGAUACGUUUGUAGAGUGUGCCUCCUCUACUGCUGGGAAAAUAAUGGAGGGAGCGGGCCUACCCUCUGCUGGUUCGCCUUCUGCCAGUUAUGGAUUUAUUUCCGAGCUACUUAACCACGAACCCACCUCGCUACCCUAACCCUUAGUAAAUCCAAAAUAAUGGGUGGCCGUGGUCUUUCCUUCUUAGCGACAGCUAAGCUAUGCAAAACUAAUGCCAACGGGCUCCCGCCCUGCCCGGUGAAAUCUUUCCACAUGUUGGCAUGGAAUAUGCAUAUACAUUUGAUAGCUUCGCUAUCGGAUUACUCGCACCCCGACAGGACACUCUAAGAGGGGUUGACCAUGGCCCCGUCGAUCUACUGCAACAAUGUGGUCUCUUUCCCCUGUGCAAUAUCCUUGUCAAGUUUGUUAACUCUCUCAAGCAACGCUUGAACAACGUUCACACUGUGAACAUCCUCCAUCUGAUAGAGAGCGAUACAUUCGAGGAUAGCUGCUACCUUGGCAUGUUGCCAUGCCGCAUGGGCUUGCAUCGGAUCGUCGAACGAUCCAAGGGUAGACUGCUUUCCAAGUGUCCUACACUGAGCAACGUAUACAGGCAUCCCGUACUUGUCAUAGCGUGCUAGGCGGACGCCUAGAGGGAUAUAGCUAUCCCACGUAUUGGCACGGUUAUUGCUUGUCUUGUCGCAGUUGGUGAAUAGAGUAUGCAUGUAUGUAGGUGUGAACUCGCAUGUAUGCGGAGCAUAGAGCUUGUUUCCCGGGUAGAGGAUAUUCCGGUCUAGGCGGUAGCCUACGGCGUACCCUGACACAUUCACCACCCAAUCAUAGAACGCUUCAAAGCCCGUCUUGGGCUUGGCCCAUUCCUUGCAUAUCUCAUCGCUUGCGAUGGCACGUUUACGCAUGGCGUAGUAGAUUUGCUUAGCGUAAUGGAUGUGAAUCUUGGCAUGAUUGUUGCUUGUCAUUGUGCCUCCUUGUGUGAAUGUUGGCUACUCGAUAGCGGCAGCUAUCAACCCUUUAGUUUAACGUAUUUGCUGGGCUGGAGUCAAUGUUUUCAGUGUCACUACUUCCGGUCGCAAAUAUAAUAGAGGUAGAGACUACACUUUGAAAGCUCCGCUUUCGAGGGUUACCCUUGUCAUGCUUAUGCAAUUCGUGUGCCAUGCAAAACGGGAUAGCGGAGCUAUCACAGGG
RNAcentral lists this small RNA (1201 nucleotides) under Pseudomonas phage PAK_P4. Its description in RNAcentral is "putative antisense RNA". The record is from RNAcentral. Lineage: Duplodnaviria; Heunggongvirae; Uroviricota; Caudoviricetes; Vandenendeviridae.